Molecule: long non-coding RNA, 1386 nt
Organism: Entelurus aequoreus (snake pipefish)
Lineage: Eukaryota; Metazoa; Chordata; Actinopteri; Syngnathiformes; Syngnathidae
Exons: 3
Source: RefSeq, a predicted model, not a curated record
CUCCCUCCUCCGGGGUGUCAGAGGCCCCCCUUGAGCUGUAACUCGAGUCGCUUCCUGGCCGCAGUGCCUUUGGGCCUCCGCCUUUCUCCGCCCAUGCGAGCGCGUAAAAAGGGGCCGUCUGGCUGCUCCCGUGGCCGCUCUCAAGUCACUCAAACUUGGGGAGCCACGCUGAGAAAGGAGGGGCCCUGGCUCCGCACCGCGGAUAGAGCGCCCCCCGGUGGCCAAGACGCGCUAUCUCCCGCUCAAAAGGGGGCAACUACAUUUCCGGGUGUCACGGGGGACACACGAAAAGUCGCAAAUAACAACACGAAAGCAAACAAACAAGUAAAUGCAUGCGAGGUUUAACUUGAAUUCGAAUAUAAACACUAUUUUGUUUCGUGAGCCGUGUGUGGGCGCCACACCAGGAAGUCACCUGCCUGCCACUCCCAGCCAGUCACAGCAAGCCUGUUUUCAACACAAACCCAACCGGAAGUCAUUAUUUCCGAGCUCAGCCCCACUCAAUGACAUCAUUACCUGAAAGACAGUAGCAUGUGCCAGCACUAAGAUAAAGAAGAGUCUUCAAUCAAGGUAAAAGUGAUGUUAAAUGUUCAUUUAUACACUUCAUUUGUCAUUAAUUUGCAUUUCUAAUUAUUUAUGUGUAGAUACUAUAAUCAUACGUUUUAUAUUGUUAAUAUUUGUGGGUGUCUGUUAGGAAUGAAUUAGAUUUGCAUUAUUUCUAAUGGGAAAAAUUGUUUUGUUUCUCACAUGAUUUGGUCUUUCAGCUUUCCGAACGGCAGUAGGAAGGUUUAACUGCUGUUUUAUGAAUUGUGUCAUUGUGUGACUCUGCUAAGUUGUGUGCACCAAAGUGUGUGUGCAUUGAAACAUAGUGUAUCAACCCUAAACCAGGGCUCUCUAACGGGCAGCUUGCCAGUCCCUCACUGAAGGCGUCAACGGGCAUUUUCUUAUUCUCAUAACUGUUCAAUUCAGACAUCAUGCCUCUAUUGUUAUGAUCUGCCGCCUGUCGGCUUUUUGUUGCAUGGCUGGGUUUUGGGCUACGGGGCAGAGUCACCUGCGCGCACACCUGAUACCCAUUUCUACCUGACUACUUGAGCUCUCCAGUCCAUCCACUCGGCGCCAGUAGAUUCCUGACAGUUCACCCUUCAGUCGUGUUCAUCUCCUCUGCCCUCGCUCCACUCACUGGUCUCCUUCCUGUGGCUCUGUUGUGUAGUGUUAACUGUUUUCUCUCCACACCUUUUGUGUGUUAUUUUGCCUCACUCCUUUUUGACUGCGCUUUGUGUUAUUAUUAUUAUUAUUAUUUUGUCUUUGUGUUGGGCUCCUACUCCAGGCGAAAGCCGAUCAUUGCAUCUAUUUAAAGAUUAAAGAUACCAAUGAUUGUCACACACACAC